This 433-nucleotide ribosomal RNA is filed under the name uncultured bacterium. Its description in RNAcentral is "partial 16S ribosomal RNA". It matches the Rfam family "Bacterial small subunit ribosomal RNA", at positions 29 to 507 of the family's 1533-position model. The record is from RNAcentral.
AACGAACGCUGGCGGCAGGCCUAACACAUGCAAGUCGAGCGAGGACUUCGGUUCUAGCGGCGGACGGGUGAGUAACGCGUGGGAAUGUGCCCUUCUCUACGGAAUAGCCCUGGGAAACUGGGAGUAAUACCGUAUACGCCCUAUUGGGGAAAGAUUCAUCGGAGAAGGAUCAGCCCGCGUUGGAUUAGGUAGUUGGUGGGGUAAUGGCCUACCAAGCCGACGAUCCAUAGCUGGUUUGAGAGGAUGAUCAGCCACACUGGGACUGAGACACGGCCCAGACUCCUACGGGAGGCAGCAGUGGGGAAUCUUAGACAAUGGGGGCAACCCUGAUCUAGCCAUGCCGCGUGAGUGAUGAAGGCCUUAGGGUUGUAAAGCUCUUUCAGCUGGGAAGAUAAUGACGGUACCAGCAGAAGAAGCCCCGGCUAACUCCGUG